UAUCCUUUUUCUCUUAGAAACCUUCUCUUAGAGAAACCCUAGCACCUCCACAUUUCUCUUCUCCCAUCACUCACUACAGUUUCUCACCGCCACCGAUACUCCACCACGAGUCCGCCUCCAUUGUUCUACUUUCGUUUUCAAGGAUUGGUGUUUAAGUUUUUGGACCAAAUGAAAAGCAGAGUGAAGUGAGAGUUAAAGUGAAUAUUGCUGAAGAGUUGACUCCCCUACAUUUUCAGAUGGUGUUUGUUGAAAUGUGUUUGUAGAUGGUGUGCCCAAAGAAGGAUUGUGAAUACAAGAUGUAUUUGUUAGAAUUACGGUUCUGCUAUUGACAAGGGAAAGAUGGGGAGUGGAGCCUGAGCUUUUAAUGGCUUUUCAUGUUUUGAAGCAAGACAAGACAAAGGCUUUAGAGAUAUUAGUGAGUGAUUUAAAAGUGUGCCCCACCUUCAAUGAGGAGCUAUACAAAGAAAUCACCCAGAUGUUAAUUCUUAAUAAUUUCAGGAAAAUGGUUCAAGUAUAUGGGGCAAUGUGGAGCUAGUGGGGAUACAAUUGCAAGUCCUGGCAAUGUUAUGGGAAUAGCAGUCUUAGCAAAGGGAAUGUUAGCUGGAAAAUGUAGAUUUUGUUGGUCCAAGUUUAAUGUUUGGUUCAUUAUUGAAUUUGAAAAUUUUAUGAUGUAAUAACUUUACCAAGUUUUAUGAAAAAGUUGGAAAUUUUUAUUGGGCCUUUAAA
Molecule: long non-coding RNA, 726 nt
Organism: Vicia villosa (hairy vetch)
Lineage: Eukaryota; Viridiplantae; Streptophyta; Magnoliopsida; Fabales; Fabaceae
Exons: 6
Source: RefSeq, a predicted model, not a curated record